Long non-coding RNA from Mercenaria mercenaria, 829 nucleotides. RefSeq lists it as uncharacterized. The record is from RefSeq and is a predicted model, not a curated record. Lineage: Eukaryota; Metazoa; Mollusca; Bivalvia; Venerida; Veneridae. The transcript has 3 exons.
GCAUUAUUUGCUCACGGUGCACAAUCACGUGGUCUAUGAUGUCACACCGUAGGUAUCGCGCCGAGCAUUUUUUGUCAACAAAGCGUCGAUUGAAGAAGAAAAUUCGUCGUCCUUUUACUAUAGAACUAGUCGGAAGACUGUUUGCAAUCUGGUAGCAAAUAUGAGCAACGAGCAGAUCCAUACAACGUGCAUUGUACAUUGGAAGACAGGGACCACGACUUUGAUCGCUCAGAGAGAACUAGGGUCUUGUGCAUGGAAAAGGUUGCUAAAGUGAGCCUAGACCAGAAUGCAGUUAAAGGGAAUCCCUUUGUGUUCGAUGGGACAGCAGUGCAAGGCAGAAUGAAAGCAAACUGUGAUCCCUCCGAGUGUUAGAAUUAGACUCAGCAACUGAUGAUACACAACAUGUUUGCGUGUUAUUUGGCUGCCUUUCGACUAAAAAUUCAAGGGUGCUGACAUAGGACAUUUCUUUCAAAAUUCUAUUUUAGACAUUGCCAUGAGUCAAUAGACCAAGUUUGAAGAACUUUGUAUGUUGGAAAUUUUAGUUAUUACACAGUUAACUCUCGUAAGCCUUUAAGGCAAUGUAUCAUGAUGUAGACUGGACUUUUCCUGAGUCAGGUCGUUUAAACAGUUGUAAUACUAACACAUUCCAGAACUUUCAGCUUCAUUUUUAUUAUUUUUAAAGACAUGUAACUUCAUGUAUAAUCAAUCAUACUAAACAAGAUAAAAGUCACACUUAUCAUAUGAUUGCCGUAAAAUAAUGUAUUAUUUCCCGAAAAUUCGUUCCUAUAAAUAUUUGGUUUACAUUUACCUUAUCUCUACAUUGAAAGUA